UGUACAAACUAUACAUAGCCACGAUUGUUCUUACAAGUAAAUAAAAAAAUUAGCCGGAAGACCCCAAGUCAACCCUUCAUUUUGUUACUUAAUUCCCACAACACUCAAAGUCCAUAGCCUUUUCGGCAAUUCUUUAAUUGUCUGAUUAUUGAGCUCCCAAAGUUUGAGAUGGAUUCCUCCUCCCAACAACAACGGAAAUGUGAUGUCUUUGUGAGUUUUAGAGGCGAAGAUACAUAUAAAUAUCUUGUUUCAAAUCUACACACAUCUCUGAAAUCCAAAGGAAUUAACUAUGCGCCGUUGAAAGAAGAUACAUGUAAAGGAAUGGACUGUGCGGAGUUCAAAGAUGAUGACGAAAUCAGUCCCAUAUCACCUGAACACUUGAAAUCCAUUGAAGAAUCAAGAUUUGCCAUUAUCAUAUUCUCGGUGAGCUAUUCCUCAUCCACUAGGUGCUUGGAGGAGCUCACUAAGAUCAUGGAAUGCGUUCGAUAUAAGGGUCAGAUUCCUAUUAUUGUCUUUUAUGGCGUCAACCCUUCAGAUGUGAGGAAUCAAACAAAUAGCUUUGGUCAAUCUUUUGCCAAGCACCUCGAAAAUCUAAAGGGCACUGCUGAUUUUCACAAGGCAAAUAUGUGGAGGGAAGCUCUCACUCAAGCAGCAAGUAUAUCAGGAUGGGAUGUGCGAAAUGAUGCUCUUUUUCCAGCGAAAGUCGAACUAUUCAGCUUGCAAGUUAUUACAGCUGAUGGGUAUGGGAAUGAAUCAGAAUGCAUUGAGCUAGUAGUCGAUCAGAUUUUUAAUAGUAUAGACCAUCCAGUUUCAGCUGCUGAAGAGAAUCAAGUUGGAACGGAAGCCGAACCCCCGUUGGCUGUUGAAUCUGUCCCUGUUUGUUCCCGUGUGCACCCUUGGGUCGAAAGACUAGUAGAAAGUUUUACCCAUUUCGUGGCUCCCCAAAAUGAAGCAAAUCAAAAGUGGAAAUAUGAUGCCUUUUUGAGUUUUAGAGGAGAAGACAUCCGCAAUAAUUUUGUUGCGCAUCUUUAUAAACGUCUGGAAGAUAUGGGAAUCAGUGUAUUCAAAGAUGAUGUGAAACUUGAAAGAGGAAAACACAUUUCGACAGAACUGUUGAAAGCGAUUGAGGAAUCAAGAAUUGCUAUUAUUAUCUUUUCUGAGGACUAUGCUUCAUCCACCUGGUGCUUGGAGGAACUCGCAACGAUAAUGGAGUGUGUUGAUCAGAAGGAACAAACGGCAUAUCCUGUCUUCUAUAACGUUGAGCCAUCUGAUUUACGCAUGAAAGGUGAGAAGAGCAGCUUUGCAAAAGCAUUGGAAAAACAUGUGGAAGAUUUCAAGGCUUAUAAACCUGAGGCAGAUCAUAUGGAUUAUGCUAUGCAGAGGUUAGGCAAGAGGUAUCUUGCUCUCAGAGAAGCAAAAAGAAACCAGACAAUCAGGGAUAAUUUGGAGAAGGUGCAAAGGUGGAAGAAUGCUCUGCAUAGAGCUGCUGGAAUAGCAGGACUGGAUGUUCGUAAAACUGCUAAUGGGAAUGAAGCAAAAUCUAUUGACAAGAUUAUAAAUGAUAACUUCCGAAGUAUGCACCACACCGUUUCAGCAACUGAAAAAUAUCUAGUGGGAAUCGACUCCCGUAUAGGUGAAGUAGAAUCGUUACUGAGGUUUCAUUCAGGUGGUGUCUGUUUUGUUGGAAUAUGGGGGAUUGGAGGCAUCGGGAAGACAACUGUUGCAAGAAAAUAUUUUGACAAGGUUUCUCAUCAAUUUCAACGGUCGUGUUUUAUUGCGAAUGUUAGAGAAGAAUCAAAGAAGCAUGAGCUGAUGUACUUGCAAAAGACACUUCUUUCAAGACUCUUAAAUGAAAAAUCAAUGAAGAUAGCAAGUUAUUUUGAAGGAGCCGACAUGAUAAAAAGAAAGCUUUGCCGCUUAAAGGUUUUAAUUGUUUUUGAUGAUGUUGAUGAUGAAGACCAAUUGGAAUAUUUAGUUGGAAAUCAUGACUGGUUUGGUGAUGGAAGUAGAAUCAUUACGACAACUAGAAACCAAGAUUUACUACGCAGUCAUGACCAGUUAUAUUCUGUUCCGGAAUUGACUAAAGAUGAGGCAGUUGAAGUCUUCAGUUGGCACGCUUUUCAGAAACAGACUCCUGAUAGAGAGUUUUUGAAACUCUCUGUAUCUGUAGUAGAUUAUGCUAAAGGCUUACCUUUAGCUCUUAAGGUCUUGGGUUCUUUUCUCUACAAGCGGGGGAUGACAGAGUGGAGAAGUGCAUUAGAUAAACUUAGAGAUACUGGAUAUGAAAAAAUUGUUAAGCAGCUCAGUUUAAGUCUAGAUGGAUUGAAUCAUGAAGAGAAGAAUAUAUUCCUUGAUAUUGCAUGCUUCUUCAGAGGAAGAAAACGAGAUGAUGUGAUAACAAUGCUAAACAGUUUUGGCUUCCGAUCAGAGAUUGGAAUAGAUGUCCUCGUCCAAAAAUCACUCUUACAUAUUUCUGAAGGGAUGGUUGAGAUGCAUGAUUUGAUAGAACAAAUGGGCCAGCAAGUGGUACGCAGUGUUGACCAGGACAGGCCAUGGAACCACAGUAGACUAUGGCAUGAACCAGAUAUAAAAACUGUUUUUUCUGCAAAUCAGAGGACAGAAUCAAUUGAAGGCAUAAUGGUACCAAUUGGCUCGGACCGUCAUAUAUGCAAGUGGAGCAAAGCUUUCAAAAACAUGCCUUGUCUUAGGUUACUCAUUGUCAAAGGGGAGGAGGUCCGACAUUACGAACCAGUUUCUGACACUAUCAGACAUCUCCCCAGUAGCUUGAAAUGGCUUGAUUGGUCUUACUACAGUUUUGAAUCUUUACCUGCAAGUUUUCAACCACGAAACCUUGUUGGGCUCAACAUGACUUUUAGUUCUCUUGUUGAAAUCUUCAAGGAACCAAAGGCGUUUGACAAGUUGACAAUCCUCAAUUUAAGUUUUUCAGGAAGUUUACUCCGAACACCCAAUUUUUCUGACACUCCAAACCUCCAGAAGAUUAUACUGAAAAGUUGUGUAAGCUUGGUAGAAAUUCAUCCAUCCAUUGGAAAUCUCAGAAAGCUCAACUUUUUGAAUAUGGAAAACUGCAGAAGUCUCAAUUCCUUACCAAGCAGUAUUCAAAUGGAAACUCUUAAAAGCUUCAACCUCUCGGGUUGUGAGAAAUUGGAAAAAUUUCCAGAAAUUCGGGGAAAUAUGGAAUUGCUAUCUGAGCUCCUCUUGGCACAUACCACAAUUUGGGAACUGCCCUCAUCAAUAGGACUACUAAGUGGAAUCAGCUUGCUUGAUUUGCGUUUGUGUGAAAACCUUGUGAGGCUCCCAUCCAGUGUCUCUGAGAUGAGAAAACUGAAAAUUUUGAUUGUUAAAGGCUGCUCAAGACUUUCUAACUUUCCUGAAAAUCUUGGUGAUCUAAACCAGUUGGAGGAGCUCUAUGCAGGCAACACUUCCAUUUGUGAACUACCAGAUUCUAUUGGUAACUUGAGCAAACUCAAGAUCCUAUCAUUAAGAAGAGGGCGGAAGGUAAAGCGUCAAUGUGCUCGCAGUUUGAGAUUACCCUUGGUGUGUCAUGGUUUGAGGGAAUUGAAAAGCUUAGAUCUCAGUGGUUGCAAUUUAUGUGAUAACCAAGCUGCUGCUCUUGCGUUUUUUCCUUCUUUAUUGGAACUGAAUCUGAGCAGAAAUAAGUUUAUUUCCUUACCUAAUAGCUUAUGUAUACUUUCUCGCCUUCAAUAUCUCAACAUAACACACUGUCAGGAACUUAAGGAACUUCCCUUACUUCCUCGGAGUAUAGAGGAAUUAUAUGCAGAAGAUUUUUUGGCAAAAGAAAGUAUUGUAAAGCUACUAAUGUACCCAAGGUUGAAUUUGAUCUCAUUCACUAAUUAUAGUUUUGAUCAACAAUCUCAUGCAGCGGGGAGCAAUGGAAGCUCUAUUUUGGAUGAGAUUUUCAGUUUAUUUUUCUCAAACAAUAUCCAUGAUAUGACCCGCCCCUCUCUUCACCAUGAUGACAGGAUGACUUUUUCCAUCGUCUUUCCUGAACGUGCAAUUCCCACGUGGUUUAAGCACCAAAGUGUUAAUGAAAAGAUCAGGUUCAACCUGCCCAAUAAUUGGUAUAAUGAUAAGUUCAAGGGCUUUGCUAUAUGCUGUGCGACUCUCAUGGGAGCAGGUGUCUGCAGUCCUGAUUCAGGAUUAUCUGAGAAGUAUGACUAUGCUUUCAUCAAAGCCAAAUUGAUAUGCAGUGAUCAUUCAGAAGACCUUAAAAUGCUAGAGAAAGAAUGUAAAGUGGGCACAGCAUCUCGAACGUAUGGCUGGUGUGUUUGUUUUGCCUACAUACCAUUGUAUCUUUCAGGGCACGUGUACGGCGUAGAUGUUGGAAUUUUUAACCAGUAUGGCUUCUUUGAGGCAUCUAUCCACGGUCGCAUAGUGAGACAGUGGGGAGUUCAUUUGAUCUAUGAGGAUGAUAGAGUGUUUUUUAAGAGAAGACUACAGAAGAAGUUGGUUUCAGCUCCCCUAAGCUCAACAGGGGGAUUGAGUGGAUUGCCAACAAAUAGUUUAAGGGAUGGUUGAAGCGAAAGUUGAUGAGUGCAAGUAGUGUUGUGUCUGGACAGAUUUGAGAGCAGGGAAUCACUUCUCCGUUAGUCAUUGGUCUGACUAAUUCGGAUUCGUGCUGGGUAAAGUUACUAAAUGGAUGAAUUGUUUUCUCCUGCAUUCACAAGUCUCCGACCCGAGAUACCUGCAAAGCGCUUCCAUAUUACUGAGGAGGUUUGAAAGAUGAUUAGCACUCCGAGGAAACGGGGAUUCCUCGUGUCGUGUUUAUCCACGAUGGUGAGACUAUUCGGGAAAAGGUUGGAGUGGCUUCGGUGGAGGACAAGAUGCGGGAAGUCCGAUUGAGAUGGUUCGGGCAUGUGAUAAGGAGGGGCACGGAUGCCCCGGUUCGUAGGUGUGAGAAGUUUGCUUUGGAUGGUUUCAGGCGGCGUAGGGGUAGGCCGAAGAAAUACUGGAGAGAGGUGAUCAGGCGGCAGUUACAACUCACUGAGGACAUGACCCUAGAUAGGAAGAUCUGAAGGGCGCGGAUUAAGAUAGAAGUUUUCACUUCGAAAGAGUUGAAGCUGCUCGAUUGCCGGUGCCAUCAACAUAUAGCUCUUCCAACUGCUCUAGAAUGCCAAGGUUGCUAUCCCUUGAAUUUUAGAUCAGAGUUUUCAGUUUUCACCAGCUCACAGAUAUUGGCUGCGGGACGUUAAUGCUAACUGCAUUGCAAGCUAUAUUACUAGAGAUAACUGUCAAAAGUUCAGAUUGUAUGGAGCUAAGAAGAACUAAGAAAGUAGAGAGAAGCGAGCGUACUAUAUAUCCAGAUGCUGAUUGUGAGAUAGUCUCGUGCUUCCUGGACUUCCAACUGAUGGGACUAUAACCAAGAAGUACUAUAUAUCCAGACUAGAUGGGCACCGCCUGUGCUCAAGCACGGACCCAACAUGUUACAUAUUCAGCAAUGAUCAAUUUAUAGAUGUUUUUUAAUCUCGACGGAUAAUAUUAAAGAACAAAAAAAAAUUUAAAUCUUAGCCCCCAACGAUGUGGCUCAUUGAAGAAGGGUUCAAGCUACUCCAAAUAAAAAAGAGUAGGUGCAAAUGAAGAAGCAACAUACCUAGACCACUAAAAGUGCAAGCUCCCGCUAUGACAGGAAAGGGCCUCACCACAAAGAUGUAUUGUAUGCAGCCUUACUUUGCAUUUCUGUCAGAGAUUGUUUCCAAACAUAUUGAAACACCUAUAUACAUGUAAUUGCCAGAGAGAGCCUAAAAUGCUGAACAAAUAACCAAAAUGCUUGAUAAACCAACAUAUUACUCCCUGCCC
Molecule: RNA transcript, 5835 nt
Organism: Capsicum annuum
Lineage: Eukaryota; Viridiplantae; Streptophyta; Magnoliopsida; Solanales; Solanaceae
Gene name: disease resistance protein Roq1
Exons: 9
Source: RefSeq, a predicted model, not a curated record